GACAGGUGGUGCAUGGUUGUCGUCAGCUCGUGUCGUGAGAUGUUGGGUUAAGUCCCGCAACGAGCGCAACCCUUAAGCUUAGUUGCCAUCAUUAAGUUGGGCACUCUAGGUUGACUGCCGGUGACAAACCGGAGGAAGGUGGGGAUGACGUCAAAUCAUCAUGCCCCUUAUGAUUUGGGCUACACACGUGCUACAAUGGACAAUACAAAGGGCAGCUAAACCGCGAGGUCAUGCAAAUCCCAUAAAGUUGUUCUCAGUUCGGAUUGUAGUCUGCAACUCGACUACAUGAAGCUGGAAUCGCUAGUAAUCGUAGAUCAGCAUGCUACGGUGAAUACGUUCCCGGGUCUUGUACACACCGCCCGUCACACCACGAGAGUUUGUAACACCCGAAGCCGGUGGAGUAACCAUUUAUGGAGCUAGCCGUCGAAGGUGGGACAAAUGAUUGGGGUGAAGUCGUAACAAGGUAGCCGUAUCGGAAGGUGCGGCUGGAUCACCUC
This 497-nucleotide ribosomal RNA is filed under the name uncultured bacterium. RNAcentral's name for it is "bacterial SSU rRNA". It matches the Rfam family "Bacterial small subunit ribosomal RNA", at positions 1033 to 1529 of the family's 1533-position model. The record is from RNAcentral.